AAAGUCGUAACAAGGUUUCCGUAGGUGAACCUGCGGAAGGAUCAUUAUACGUUUAUCCAACGUACCAACCAACGCGCACUUGUUUAUUCAAGUCUGUAGACUAGCUUUUGUGUUUGUUGGCUACCAAAGUAUGGUGGGGUUUUUUGUCUGUUUGUGCUUCGGCAUGAAGAGCAAAAGACCUGUUUGGUAGUCGGCCUUCACUCGGCGUUAAAAAACCGUGUGAGACGAGCUAUGUCACGCAGCAACCAUUUUAAUUAUUUAAAUUUAAAACGCAUUGUAAUCACUUGUACUAAUUACGAAAAACAUCUGAAAGUGCUUUUUUGUUUCACGACGAAAGCGCGGCCAGGUGGAAUUAAGACAUUAAUUGCUGAACAACUCUUAGCAACGGAUAUCUUGGUUCUC
This 402-nucleotide unclassified non-coding RNA is filed under the name Ascomycota sp. RNAcentral's name for it is "partial contains small subunit ribosomal RNA, internal transcribed spacer 1, and 5.8S ribosomal RNA". The stretch from base 1 to 47 matches the Rfam family "Eukaryotic small subunit ribosomal RNA", at positions 1785 to 1831 of the family's 1831-position model. The record is from RNAcentral. Lineage: Eukaryota; Fungi; Ascomycota.